Molecule: ribosomal RNA, 556 nt
Filed under: Bacillus sp. (in: firmicutes)
Lineage: Bacteria; Bacillati; Bacillota; Bacilli; Caryophanales; Bacillaceae
Description: bacterial SSU rRNA
Rfam family: Bacterial small subunit ribosomal RNA
Source: RNAcentral
UGCAGUCGAGCGAAUCGAUGGGAGCUUGCUCCCUGAGAUUAGCGGCGGACGGGUGAGUAACACGUGGGCAACCUGCCUAUAAGACUGGGAUAACUUCGGGAAACCGGAGCUAAUACCGGAUACGUUCUUUUCUCGCAUGAGAGAAGAUGGAAAGACGGUUUACGCUGUCACUUAUAGAUGGGCCCGCGGCGCAUUAGCUAGUUGGUGAGGUAAUGGCUCACCAAGGCGACGAUGCGUAGCCGACCUGAGAGGGUGAUCGGCCAMACUGGGACUGAGACACGGCCCAGACUCCUACGGGAGGCAGCAGUAGGGAAUCUUCCGCAAUGGACGAAAGUCUGACGGAGCAACGCCGCGUGAACGAAGAAGGCCUUCGGGUCGUAAAGUUCUGUUGUUAGGGAAGAACAAGURCCAGAGUAACUGCUGGUACCUUGACGGUACCUAACCAGAAAGCCACGGCUAACUACGUGCCAGCAGCCGCGGUAAUACGUAGGUGGCAAGCGUUGUCCGGAAUUAUUGGGCGUAAAGCGCGCGCAGGUGGUUCCUUAAGUCUGAUGUG